GUGCUUCAGCUGGUGCAGACUUCAGAGUGGAUGCUCAAGAUGGCCUCCAAGCCAUGCAUGGACCUUCAGGCAGGACUGCACAUGCUGGCAAUACAUCAACCACUGCAGAUAGCUCUUCAUUACUGCUGAUUAACGUUAUUACGUGAAGAGUUGAUACAAAAGGGAAAAAAAUGAAGAUGCGUAAGGCAGUACUUAUGUUCAUUCUGUUCAUUACAGGGCAUCUUUGUACCAAUAUGAAUGUUGCUGCGGGAACACCAUCAUAUAGUCCCUCACCUGAAGAAACCUUAACAAAAUCACAUAGUUUCACACCUGGUCCCAAAUUCAAGCAAACUCCUCAAUCAGAAACAAUGUUGCAUGAGAACGAGAGGAACAGGGAACCAGAGAACCGUGGAAUGGAGGUUCCAGAACGUCUGCCAACUAUAGUGGCAGGAGUCAGCAUUUCCCUUGUGUUGAUUUUUAUUCUUGUAAUUACUGGUGUUUGGUGUGCACGAAGAAGAUCAAACGGAAGUUCAGCUGCAAUUAAUUGUAUUCCCUCUGGUGAACCUGGAGUGUCCUUAAAAAAAGUGUCAACACACGAGAACCAACACGAGUGGCCUUUUGAAAGAGCACUAUAAUGACAACUGGAGAGCUGUUGUGUGACCCUCUGGUCUGUGCACCUUUAUGGCAGAACCGCACACACCAUGGGACUUCGAGUCAGUAAUUUUCCCUUUUUUCAGUGAAUUUGGAAUAGCAGCUAACAAAAAAAAAAGAAUCCUGUUACCAAAAGAAUUUCAGUCAAAGGUCUUAAGUAAAAGAUUAAAACCAGGGAGGUUCUUCAAUGCCACCUAAGUGGAACAUGUUGCCUGUAGCGUAACAAAAGAAAGGCUUUUCUUAUGUCCUUUUCAGGAGGAAAAAAGAAAGGAAAAUCCUCUCAGUUGUAGCUAUUUGAACAGCACUCUUAAAGAGCUGUAUCUUCUAAAAAGUUAAAUUCUUGAAAUUAAAGAGAUCCUGGUUACAUAAAAUGGCAUGCUUAGGCUAUGUCUGUUUUAAUAAAUUAAACCUGCCCUGGAAUGUUGCUACUGUU
RNAcentral lists this long non-coding RNA (1063 nucleotides) under Calidris pugnax (ruff). RNAcentral's name for it is "lncRNA (ENSCPUG00000012244.1)". The record is from RNAcentral. Lineage: Eukaryota; Metazoa; Chordata; Aves; Charadriiformes; Scolopacidae.